GCCCGGGUGUUGGAAUGGAAGACAAAGUGGGCUUAAAACCCACUGGAGAUUCAAUCUCCGUGAGGGUUCGAGUCCCUCCCCGGGCACAA
RNAcentral lists this transfer RNA (89 nucleotides) under Candidatus Parcubacteria bacterium. RNAcentral's name for it is "tRNA-Leu". It matches the Rfam family "tRNA". From Rfam's summary of the family: Transfer RNA (tRNA) molecules are approximately 80 nucleotides in length. Their secondary structure includes four short double-helical elements and three loops (D, anti-codon, and T loops). Lineage: Bacteria; Candidatus Parcubacteria. The record is from RNAcentral.